Molecule: long non-coding RNA, 651 nt
Organism: Micropterus salmoides (largemouth bass)
Lineage: Eukaryota; Metazoa; Chordata; Actinopteri; Centrarchiformes; Centrarchidae
Exons: 2
Source: RefSeq, a predicted model, not a curated record
CAGGAGUGAAGCUGCUGUCUGAUCUUGUGGAGAGUCCACAUUGUAGACUGGAGACUCUGAGGUGGAAGUGAUAUCUGUCAGAGAGACAGAUGAUGUCUGGAUUCUGGAGGAAAGUUACCAUCUAAUAUUUAAUUUUGUAUAUUGUUAAUUUAAAAAAAAGUGGUAAUUGUUAGGCAAAACACAUUGUUUGUUACACGCUUUCUAUAAUUCAUUGCUUAAUAUACUUCACCUGUAGUACAAAUCUGCAUGGCUACUUUAAGACAUAAUUUAAUAUUGUAAGUAUAAUAUAUACUGUAGAUUUGAAUAGUGUGGUAUCACAAAAUGUAUUUCUUAAUACAUAUUUUGUCACGUGUGUGUACAUAACUGAAUCAAGAAGUAAACAUGUAUAUGUCUUAAGUGAUGUUUAAAACACAAGUAAGAAAGUCUGAACAACCUGAAGUCUCAGCAUGUUUCAGCCUCUUUUCUCAUCAUACUCUGAUUACUGUGUGAACUGUGUUACAACAUUAUUGAUCAUUAUCUCUGUUACAGUUAAUUACAUUUUCAUUAGACUCUGAGCCUAAGACAAAGCUGGAAAACCGUUCUCGACUCUGACUCCUUCACAGAGAAAUAUUUACUGUAUUUCACGAUUAAAGUCAACUGAAUAAAACUUCA